This 400-nucleotide ribosomal RNA is filed under the name uncultured bacterium. Its description in RNAcentral is "bacterial SSU rRNA". It matches the Rfam family "Bacterial small subunit ribosomal RNA", at positions 355 to 772 of the family's 1533-position model. The record is from RNAcentral.
UGGGGAAUAUUGGACAAUGGGCGCAAGCCUGAUCCAGCAAUACCACGUGAGUGAUGAAGGCCUUCGGGUUGUAAAACUCUUUUAGUAGGGAAGAUAAUGACGGUACCUACAGAAAAAGCACCGGCUAACUUCGUGCCAGCAGCCGCGGUAAUACGAAGGGUGCUAGCGUUGUUCGGAAUCAUUGGGCGUAAAGCGUGCGUAGGCGGUUUAGUAAGUCAAAUGUGAAAGCCCAGAGCUUAACUUUGGAAUUGCAUUUGAAACUAUUAAACUAGAGUGUGGCGGGGGAUAGUGGAAUUCUUAGUGUAGGGGUGAAAUCCGUAGAUAUUAAGAGGAACACCGGUGGCGAAGGCGACUAUCUACACCAUUACUGACGCUGAGGCACGAAAGCGUGGGGAGCAAA